RNAcentral lists this ribosomal RNA (253 nucleotides) under uncultured bacterium. Its description in RNAcentral is "partial 16S ribosomal RNA". It matches the Rfam family "Bacterial small subunit ribosomal RNA", at positions 524 to 776 of the family's 1533-position model. The record is from RNAcentral.
UACGUAGGGCGCAAGCGUUGUCCGGAAUUAUUGGGCGUAAAGAGCUCGUAGGCGGUCUGUCGCGUCGGCUGUGAAAACCUGGGGCUUAACUCCGGGCUUGCAGCCGAUACGGGCAGACUAGAGUUCGGCAGGGGAGACUGGAAUUCCUGGUGUAGCGGUGAAAUGCGCAGAUAUCAGGAGGAACACCGGUGGCGAAGGCGGGUCACUGGACCACAACUGACGCUGAGGCGCGAAAGCUAGGGGAGCAAACAGG